CACCCCUGACACUGGGCAAAGAGACAUCUUGGUGGUGAUGGUCUUAUAUCAGUCAGGGGCAGAGCAAAUGGUCAUCCUUUGUUCAUCCUAGUUUGAUGCCUGGUUUGGUGGCCAAAGCAAUCAUAUGCCUAGGACUCCUAA
Molecule: small nucleolar RNA, 141 nt
Organism: Arvicanthis niloticus (Nile rat)
Lineage: Eukaryota; Metazoa; Chordata; Mammalia; Rodentia; Muridae
Product: small nucleolar RNA SNORA48
Source: RefSeq, a predicted model, not a curated record